Molecule: ribosomal RNA, 495 nt
Filed under: uncultured bacterium
Lineage: Bacteria
Description: partial 16S ribosomal RNA
Rfam family: Bacterial small subunit ribosomal RNA
Source: RNAcentral
GACGAACGCUGGCGGCGUGCCUAAUACAUGCAAGUAGAACGCUGAAGGAGGAGCUUGCUCUUCUGGAUGAGUUGCGAACGGGUGAGUAACGCGUAGGUAACCUGCCUGGUAGCGGGGGAUAACUAUUGGAAACGAUAGCUAAUACCGCAUAAGAGUAGAUGUUGCAUGACAUUUACUUAAAAGGUGCAAUUGCAUCACUACCAGAUGGACCUGCGUUGUAUUAGCUAGUUGGUGGGGUAACGGCUUACCGAGGCGACGAUACAUAGCCGACCUGAGAGGGUGAUCGGCCACACUGGGACUGAGACACGGCCCAGACUCCUACGGGAGGCAGCAGUAGGGAAUCUUCGGCAAUGGACGGAAGUCUGACCGAGCAACGCCGCGUGAGUGAAGAAGGGUUUCGGAUCGUAAAGCUCUGUUGUAAGAGAAGAACGAGUGUGAGAGUGGAAAGUUCACACUGUGACGGUAGCUUACCAGAAAGGGACGGCUAACUACGUG